CUACAAUGAUGGCAGUACUUUUUGUCAACAGCAGUUCACCUAGUAAAUGUUGAUACUUUGGGUCUGAGUGG
Molecule: small nucleolar RNA, 71 nt
Filed under: Callithrix jacchus (white-tufted-ear marmoset)
Lineage: Eukaryota; Metazoa; Chordata; Mammalia; Primates; Cebidae
Description: Small nucleolar RNA SNORD56 (ENSCJAG00000029200.3)
Rfam family: Small nucleolar RNA SNORD56
About the family: U56 belongs to the C/D class of snoRNA which contain the C (UGAUGA) and D (CUGA) box motifs. Most of the members of the box C/D family function in directing site-specific 2'-O-methylation of substrate RNAs.
Source: Rfam by way of RNAcentral